Molecule: ribosomal RNA, 253 nt
Filed under: uncultured bacterium
Lineage: Bacteria
Description: partial 16S ribosomal RNA
Rfam family: Bacterial small subunit ribosomal RNA
Source: RNAcentral
UACGUAGGGGGCAAGCGUUGUCCGGAAUCAUUGGGCGUAAAGAGCGUGUAGGCGGCCAGAAAAGUCCGCUGUGAAAACUCGAGGCUCAACUUCGAGCUGUCGGUGGAAACUUUCUGGCUAGAGUCCGGAAGAGGAGAAUGGAAUUCCUGGUGUAGCGGUGAAAUGCGCAGAUAUCAGGAAGAACACCCGUGGCGAAGGCGGUUCUCUGGGACGGUACUGACACUGAGGCGCGAAAGCUAGGGGAGCAAACAGG